This is a long non-coding RNA of Scylla paramamosain (green mud crab), 2624 nucleotides long. RefSeq lists it as uncharacterized. NCBI's taxonomy places the organism in Eukaryota, Metazoa, Arthropoda, Malacostraca, Decapoda, Portunidae. The transcript has 2 exons. The record is from RefSeq and is a predicted model, not a curated record.
UUUAGUGCUUCAUAGAAAAGUGCCACUCAGCCACAACUCUUGUAAGUCUUUGUAGUACACCACUGCACAAAACUUAUGUCAUUUCCUUGUAGAUUCUGUUUGUCAGUAUGCUCAAGCCCACGGGUGAUUUCUUUCAUUGAUAUGCAGGCCUCACGUACACUUCAUUCUUUGUCAGUGUCGUACUGUAUUCGUGGUGAUCAGUGAACUACUGGCUGAUGCAGAUCUAGUCUUCUCUUGGGGACUUAUUGUCUGCAUGUUGACAGGUUGGAUCAGCAGAGGAGCCGACACCGCACAGCUCGGCGCUCUUCCCCUGUGCCUGAGCAACACUGCGCUGACACGUCUGUCCGAUGCAGGGAGGAGACAGCAAGCGAGAGGCGAGGCUUGGCGGAGUUUGGACAUGUUAGGCAAUCCAUGUCGGGGCAUCAUGAGGGAAAACAGCUUGUAUGCUGUCAUACGGACGCGGCGCUCACAACUUGGAAUCUCAAACAAGCCUCUCCCACACCCACCUCUAAUAUCUUCCACCACGGUGACAGAGAGAGAGAGAGAGAGAGAGAGAGAGAGAGAGAGAGAGAGAGAGAGAGAGAGAUUAGAUUAGAUUAGAUUAGAUUAAAUUGUUUAUUAUCCACCAAAGUGGUUGUUACACAUUUUACAAGUAGUCAAGUAUACAAAUAUGAUUUAAUACUGGUGAUAUUUAACAAUAUAAGUACAAUAAAGUUGAGGAUCACUCGUCUAUAAUAGAUGCACCACAAAAAUGCUAAGUUAACUUACAUACACUGGUACACUUACAAUGAAAACAUCAAGAUGAAACAAACCUAACUAAAUAUAUUUUUGGUUAUUUUAUUUAUUUAUUUAUUAUUUUAUUUAUUUAUUUUUUUUUUCAAGUCCAGCCUUAAAAGAGUUUAUAGAUGUGUCCUGUGUGAGGGAGAGCGGGAGAGAGUUCCACGCUGUGGCUCCCAAUAUGACAGUGCGUGUAUCAGCAGUGUGUGUGUAGGUGCGCGGUACAAGCAACCUGUGCCUGUGUCUUGUGACGCUACUGGUGAUAGCUUGCCUGUUACAUAGUGAUAAAAACUAUUUUAGAUGAAACCCUCGUAAAAUCUUAAAUAUUGUUGUAGCCACUUGUAAAACAUGUUUGUGCUUUAUUCGUAGCCAUUGGAGUUCUUUAUAAAAUGGAGACACGUGAUCAUAUUUCUUAACUCCACCUAUGGCAACCCUUACUGCAGCAUUCUGUAACUUUUGCACACCAGACAUUAAUGCAUCAUUUGUAGUCCCCAUAUUCUAAUACAACAGUUAAUUAAGCUUAAUACAAGGGCCUGUGUCACCAUGAUCCUGCUGUCCUUAUCUGUGUUUUCACUAAUUCUACUUACAUACAUUAAAAUACCCACCACUUUCCUUUGCAGCUCAUUAAUAUGGACGUCAAAAAGCAAGUAACUCUCCAAGGAAACUCCCAAGUUUUUCACGUGCUUACUUGGAUGUAUUACAUUUCCAUUAACAUUCACAGUCGUGUUUGGGGGAGUGUGAGAUAAAAGCUGGCGAUUACCUAUAAAAAUACACUGAGUCUUGCAAGAAUUAAACAUGAGACCAUUGUUUAGUUACAACAUCGGGAUCACCAUUUUUAUACAGGGGGACAACCAGUGCAUGUUUCCAUGACUCGGGGAACACGCCAGUCACCAGGGACGUGUUGAUGAUACAGCUGAGGAGAGGACAGUGACACAGGGCGCAUCCCGGACAAACUUUAAUGCUAUUCCGUCCGACCCGAUGGAGUUGGUUACAUCGAGGUCUUUAACGGUUAAGAUAAGGGUGUCAGCGUCCACAGGCUCAGAUCUACAAGCAGAGUUCACUUUAAUGGUAUUUACUUGAAGAUGAUGAACAGUUACUACUACCCCUUCACUUCUUAGUUCUUCCUGAGAACGUCUGAAAGUAGUCUCCCCAACAUUUGAAAAGAAUUUAUUGAAGUCAGUUUUUCAUUUACGUUACCAAAAUUGUGAGUAUCAUGUUUUUUUUUUUUUUUUCUGAUUAGGAAUAAUUUCCUCAGUAACUUUCCAUGUUGCAGAGAUAUUUCCUUUACAAUCUUUUAGACGACCUUGAUAAUGCUCUGCCUUAGAGGUAUUAAUGAGUGCUUUGACAUGUUUCAGCAGCUUUAUAACGUUCCCUCAAUCCAACGUUAUUUGUACCGACUUUUAACUCUCUUUGCAACCUAUUACGGUCCUCCUUUGCCUCACGAACAUCGCCACUCAUCCAUGGUGCUGGUGUGCCUUUCACAGCUUUAGUCACAACAGGGGCACACACACAUCAAGAGGAAAACUAAAAACCUCAUUAAAAAUAUACACUUGUUUGUUAAGGUCGUCAGUUAAAAACACAUUAUUGAUACAAUACACAUUGUAUAAAAGCAGCAAACAAAGUGUCUUUAUCACAGUGCUUCAGAUCAGGGAGGCUUUUUAUCACCGGUAUUUUGCGAGGUUUUCUUACAUUUAUAGCGACGGACACGAGAUCAUGAUCUGCAAUUAACUGAGGGACCACGUCACGGGAUAAAACUACCUCAGGUUUAUUAGUGAUAAUAAGAUCCAGUAGAGUAGCUCAAUGUCAGGUUUUUCUUGUGGGUUUAUCAAUAAAACUGAAUCAACUUA